GACGAACGCUGGCGGCGUGCCUAAUACAUGCAAGUAGAACGCUGAAGCUUGGUGCUUGCACCGAGCGGAUGAGUUGCGAACGGGUGAGUAACGCGUAGGUAACCUGCCUGGUAGCGGGGGAUAACUAUUGGAAACGAUAGCUAAUACCGCAUAAGAGUAGGUGUUGCAUGACAUUUGCUUAAAAGGUGCAAUUGCAUCACUACCAGAUGGACCUGCGUUGUAUUAGCUAGUUGGUGAGGUAACGGCUCACCAAGGCAACGAUACAUAGCCGACCUGAGAGGGUGAUCGGCCACACUGGGACUGAGACACGGCCCAGACUCCUACGGGAGGCAGCAGUAGGGAAUCUUCGGCAAUGGACGGAAGUCUGACCGAGCAACGCCGCGUGAGUGAAGAAGGUUUUCGGAUCGUAAAGCUCUGUUGUAAGAGAAGAACGAGUGUGAGAGUGGAAAGUUCACACUGUGACGGUAUCUUACCAGAAAGGGACGGCUAACUACGUG
RNAcentral lists this ribosomal RNA (497 nucleotides) under uncultured bacterium. Its description in RNAcentral is "partial 16S ribosomal RNA". It matches the Rfam family "Bacterial small subunit ribosomal RNA", at positions 28 to 507 of the family's 1533-position model. The record is from RNAcentral.